RNAcentral lists this ribosomal RNA (371 nucleotides) under Theileria luwenshuni. Its description in RNAcentral is "SSU rRNA". It matches the Rfam family "Eukaryotic small subunit ribosomal RNA", at positions 477 to 888 of the family's 1831-position model. The record is from RNAcentral. Lineage: Eukaryota; Apicomplexa; Aconoidasida; Piroplasmida; Theileriidae.
UAAAUCGGGGGCAUACUGUAUUAGUAUUGGAUGAUCGGGAAUUUAAACCUCUUCCAGAGUAUCAAUUGGAGGGCAAGUCUGGUGCCAGCAGCCGCGGUAAUUCCAGCUCCAAUAGCGUAUAUUAAAAUUGUUGCAGUUAAAAAGCUCGUAGUUGAAUUUCUGCUGCAUUGCAUCUUCUUUUUGAUGAGUUGGUGUAUUGUGGCUUAUUUCGGAUGAUACUUGUAUUAUCCGGAUGAUUACUUUGAGAAAAUUAGAGUGCUCAAAGCAGGCUUUUGCCUUGAAUAGUUUAGCAUGGAAUAAUAAAGUAGGACUUUGGUUCUAUUUUGUUGGUUUUAGGUACCAAAGUAAUGGUUAAUAGGAGCAGUUGGGGG